UACGUAGGGUGCAAGCGUUGUCCGGAUUUACUGGGCGUAAAGCGUGCGUAGGUUGCUAUUUAAGUCAGAUGUCAAAUCCAUCAGCUUAACUGAUGUCCGCAUUUGAUACUGAAUAGCUGGAGAGUAGGAGAGGGAAGCGGAACUCAUGGUGUAGCGGUGAAAUGCGUAGAUAUCAUGAGGAACACCAGUGGCGAAGGCGGCUUCCUGGACUAUUUCUGACACUGAGGCACGAAAGCGUGGGGAGC
RNAcentral lists this ribosomal RNA (245 nucleotides) under uncultured bacterium. RNAcentral describes it as "partial 16S ribosomal RNA". It matches the Rfam family "Bacterial small subunit ribosomal RNA", at positions 524 to 769 of the family's 1533-position model. The record is from RNAcentral.